GGAGGCUCUCAGGAGCGCCCUCUUCAGGUGGGAGGCCAGGCCCAAGCAGCACAGCAGGUCGACUGCAGUGAUGUCCCUGCUGUUCCACGCAGAGAGGAGAGCUAAGGUUUGGGCUACAAAAUGUUGAAAACCACUGCAUAGAAGCUACCACAACAUCCAACCACAAACUUGCCACCAGCAAUGGCAAAGAAAGCGGAAGGGAAGCAGAUGUGGUUGCUGCCACCUUGGAAAUUAUGGUACUAACAAGACUUUAUGUGAGGAGAGAUCUUUGUCUAUAGAUCUUUGGUUAUAUGUCUGAUUAUUUCCUGAGGAGAAAUUCCGGACAUCAAGUGUAUGAACAAUUGAAGGACUUUAGAAACAAAAUCAAAGUGCUUUGCAGUGAGAUGUUCUCAGCCCACCUGUCAGCAGUGAGGUGCUGCCCAACAGCACUUCUCAGCAUCAAGGAUGCCUUUGUCCCUGGAGGCUAUUCUGAAGACAGUACCCUACCUGCUCACCUUUCAGUGCGCCUGGGCACCCGCGUCCAUAUGGUGACCAUCAAAUUAUACUGCAUGAAGAAAAGCUGUUUUGCUGACUAUUUUUUAAUUUUUAAUUUUGCUUUGGUAUUACAAAUAGCACAUAUGAGCUUUAGGAAAUUGGAAAUACAGGAAAAACAGAAACAUAAAAAAUUACCUAUAACGCGUGUCUAUAAAUGAGUUGUUUUCCUGGUAUCCCUGCUUUUUGAGGACUCACUCUCCCUCCCACUAUGGGAAUUGUGCGGCACCCUCUGCAGACUGGCAUGCCCAUCGGCACAGCAGCCCUGAGAGCCUUCUUCCAUGGCUCCCCACGGAGACAGCAACAUGAGCAACUACAACAGCUCAGUGACUCACCUGGGCUUUGCAUGUUACCCAAGCUGGGCCACCCGAGGUUUUUCAAAAAGGGGAGUUUCUCUUUUUUCCUUCAAAAUUGUGAGCUAUGAAGAAGACCAGAUACACUGGAUCGCAUUUCCUACUACAUGGAGACGGACUGCUCGAGCGUGGGCCAACACAGCGGGAAGCAGAGCUGAGGCACUGAGAGGGGAGGGCUGAACCCUGGCUGCCUUUGGGACGGCUGGGACCCCUGUGACUUUGCCACUCCUCUUCUCACCUUUAAAUCUGGACUAGACUCCUGAAGUGGAAAUGAUAUCAUGUACAGUAUCUGAGACUCAGAGAAGCAAAAUCCUUGUCUCAAACACACAUACUUCAUACGUGGCGGAGCUGAGAUGAAAGCAUGGAUAUCUUGCCUCCAAGAACAGAGUCUUUCAAGGAGCUCCUCAGAAGGAGGCAGGAGGAGUCUUCAGACCCUCUUCUGGUGAAUGAAAUUCCUUGACCAGAAGCCAAGAUAAUAAAUCCUGAGCCUAAGUCAUUCUGAGCCUUGGACUGAAGAUCUGAAAUCUAGUCUGGGAAGCGCUUUCACAUUUCUUACAACCAAGAAUGGAAAGGCUCUUUUGUGAACAAACUUUACCUUGACACAUUGAAGAUCCCCAGCUCGAAGUGUUUUCUCUUUCAGCGCAGGAGGGGUGGCCGCGGGUGGACUCCUGUGUCCUCCGUAUGGUCCCGUAGCACCUGAGUCCGUGCAGCUGCCUCAGCCUCUCCACUCCUCGGGCCCCUUCAUGUUCAGGAACGCUGGGCUGCCUGCCGUUGUUUUUCCUGAUUAAUCAUACUCAUCAUGUACAACUCUGUCCAGCACCAUCCAUUCCAUCAAUCUUCCUUGAAGUAGGUCCACCUGGAAUAAUUGAGCAUCUCUCAUCAUGGGAUGCUCCACAAUACAUUGCAGUUAUCUCUAUUUACAAAUAUCUUCCCUAUGGGCUGGAAGCUUUUUGAGAACAAGAUUUUUGCCUAACCCAGCAUUUUCCUAAAUUAAUGUGCAUCCAAAUUACUUAGGAAUUCUGUUAAAAGGUAGAUUCUGAUUCAGUGAGCUCGAGGUGUGGCCUGACGCUGCCUUUUGACUAAGCCCCCAGGUGAUGUCAGUGUCACUGGUUUUGGUCCGCGGCGUGAGUAGCAGGCUUCUUUGCGCUCUCAGGACCCAGAACAACAUGACAGAUUACGCUUAUAGCAAAAGAGAAUUGCUAAGUUUCGCCCCAGUGGAUCUCAAUUCUGCCUCUGUGUCAGAACCACAUGAGGAGACUUCAUAACCAGUUCUGCCGUGUAGAGCCCACCCUGUGAGAUUCUCAUUUGACUAGUCUGGAAUGGACCCCGGCCACUGCUAGGUCUCAAAGCUGGAACGUGCCCCUUGGUUUGGGAACCACCGGCUGAGACUCUUUGAAAAUGGGGAUUCUUCUUGUUAUUUCUGGGCCUGGACCUGGUGCCCUGGGGCCACUUAGUAUGAGUUGGUUGAGUAAAUUAACUCCUUUAUCUUGGCUCAGUUUCAGUGUUUCUAUGAUACUUUCAUGUCUUCAGGGUGGGUGGAAAAUUUUCUUAAAAAGGCAGGUGGUGGUGGAAGUGACACAUUUAUGAGGUGACAGAGUUAAGGGUAAACGUGUCAGGGGGCUCUGAAUUAGUAAGUAAGCCAACUCUAGUGACAUCUUAGGGCUCAGAGUGGGUGGUAGACGAGCCCCUGUAAGGAGGCCACGCCUUUUAAAGUUACUGCAAGAAAGAAGCCUUGCCCAGAUGAUAGUUGAAAUAGUCCUCUUUAACAGCCAGUCCAGCAUGGGGGAAAUUUGAAUUAAACACUUUAUUGUUUAGUCUGUUCCUAUAUUUUAAAAUAGUUGAUGUAGAUGUAAGUAGGGAACCAAACCGCCUGAAGUCCAGGCAUCUGAGCAAAAAGGAUUACUGGGAAACCUCUGCUGACUUCAGAAGAAUUGCAUUUUCAAUCAUAAGCUUUCCAAGGUUGAAAAGGUUAGGACAGUCUCUUCGAGAGGCCUUCAUAAUGAAAAAAGAAAGAAAUUAUGGCCCAGGAAGGCUCUUGGUACCAGACCAAGAGACAAAACGGUUAUUUGAGAAGUAGAUUUAACUAAUAAAUGUGGGACUAUCUAGUAGUCAGGGGCAGCUAAGUGUUCAGUGGCUGGAGACAGGUGUGUGCCCACCAGCUCUGGAGUGCCCACUGGUAAAUUUCCAGUUCUGUGGGCCAGUUUUUAAAUACAGUUGUUAUUAAAAAUUAA
Non-coding RNA from Microcebus murinus (gray mouse lemur), 3115 nucleotides. The record is from RefSeq and is a predicted model, not a curated record. Lineage: Eukaryota; Metazoa; Chordata; Mammalia; Primates; Cheirogaleidae.